This 467-nucleotide ribosomal RNA is filed under the name uncultured bacterium. RNAcentral's name for it is "bacterial SSU rRNA". It matches the Rfam family "Bacterial small subunit ribosomal RNA", at positions 331 to 795 of the family's 1533-position model. The record is from RNAcentral.
CCAGACUCCUACGGGAGGCAGCAGUGAGGAAUAUUGGUCAAUGGCCGAGAGGCUGAACCAGCCAAGUCGCGUGAGGGAUGACGGCCCUACGGGUUGUAAACCUCUUUUGUCGGGGAGCAAAGAGAGUCACGUGUGACUCAUUGAGAGUACCCGAAGAAAAAGCAUCGGCUAACUCCGUGCCAGCAGCCGCGGUAAUACGUAGGGGGCAAGCGUUAUCCGGAUUUACUGGGUGUAAAGGGAGCGUAGACGGCUGUGCAAGUCUGAAGUGAAAGCCCAGGGCUCAACCCUGGGACUGCUUUGGAAACUGUGGAGCUAGAGUGCUGGAGAGGUAAGUGGAAUUCCUAGUGUAGCGGUGAAAUGCGUAGAUAUUAGGAGGAACACCAGUGGCGAAGGCGGCUUACUGGACAGUAACUGACGUUGAGGCUCGAAAGCGUGGGGAGCAAACAGGAUUAGAUACCCCCGUAACU